This 508-nucleotide ribosomal RNA is filed under the name uncultured bacterium. RNAcentral describes it as "bacterial SSU rRNA". It matches the Rfam family "Bacterial small subunit ribosomal RNA", at positions 15 to 518 of the family's 1533-position model. The record is from RNAcentral.
GAUUAUGGCUCAGGAUGAACGCUAGCUACAGGCUUAACACAUGCAAGUCGAGGGGUAGCAGGGUAGCAAUACCGCUGACGACCGGCGCACGGGUGAGUAACACGUAUCCAACCUUCCCAUAACUCAGGGAUAGCCUUUCGAAAGAAAGAUUAAUACCUGAUAGUACUUUUUCAAGGCAUCUUAGAAAAAGUUAAAGAUUUAUUGGUUAUGGAUGGGGAUGCGUUCCAUUAGAUAGUUGGUGAGGUAACGGCUCACCAAGUCUUCGAUGGAUAGGGGUUCUGAGAGGAAGGUCCCCCACAUUGGUACUGAGACACGGACCAAACUCCUACGGGAGGCAGCAGUGAGGAAUAUUGGUCAAUGGGCGAGAGCCUGAACCAGCCAAGUAGCGUGAAGGAAUGAAGGUCCUAUGGAUUGUAAACUUCUUUUAUAGUAGAAUAAAGUGAGCCACGUGUGGUUUUUUGUAUGUAUACUAUGAAUAAGGAUCGGCUAACUCCGUGCCAGCCGCAGC